UACACCCACCAAUUUCAUGAGUUCAUCCAUCUCCUCUAUACAAACCUCUUGGCCCUCCCUUCCUCUCGAUCUCUCUAAACAGCGGCAGCAGGAGCCGAGCUCCGAUGACCCCACCUGCCGACGCCACCCAACCCCUUCCCCCUCUGCUCUCCCUCGUUCUCUCCGACGAAGACCACCAGCGAACCGGCGGCCGGUGACUCUCCAAACACCUCCACCCCCUUCCUAUUUCGUACCUGCCGGAGCUCGAAGCCGACGCCGUUAAACCCGAGUCGCCCACUGUGUUUCGGUUAACCUCUCACGUUCGUCCUCUUGGAUUUCUUUACUCGUGCGUUUUACAAGAAAUCGCAACGCAAUCACUGUUAAUUGAUGAAGUGAUGUUACAAGAUGAAACAAGAUUUAGGGUGGACUAGAUACACACCUAGAUUAAUCUAUCUUUUGUUGUUAUGUUACAAUUUGAAACA
Helianthus annuus (common sunflower) is the source of this 461-nucleotide long non-coding RNA. RefSeq lists it as uncharacterized. The record is from RefSeq and is a predicted model, not a curated record. The transcript has 3 exons. Lineage: Eukaryota; Viridiplantae; Streptophyta; Magnoliopsida; Asterales; Asteraceae.